Molecule: long non-coding RNA, 1119 nt
Filed under: Pogona vitticeps (central bearded dragon)
Lineage: Eukaryota; Metazoa; Chordata; Lepidosauria; Squamata; Agamidae
Description: lncRNA (ENSPVIG00000014308.1)
Source: RNAcentral
AUCACUUCCAGCUAUUCAAAUCUGUGAUUCCAGGGUGUAGUUAAAAAAAAAACCCCUAAGGUUUCCAAACUCUGAGAGAAAGAAUGAUGAUUAUGAAAACAAUAGUGUUUUUGUAUUGCACCCACCCACCCAUCCACAUUCUAAAGUUAAGAUCUGUUUGCAACAUUUUGUAACUUAAAUACUGUAUGUUUCUGUUCAAGGUCAUGAUAGUAUUCCACAGUAGAGGUUGAUGAGACUUAUGCUAUCAUUUCAAUUGUUACAGUUUUGUGAGAUUUUACAUUUCCACAUACUUGAGCUUUGCUUGCAUUAAUGCCAAGCACAUUUAACCUGUGUCUCUUGGAAGUAUCGAAAAGUAUUUAUUUAGGUUCAUAAUCCACCUUUUCUCCAAUCUUUGAAGGUAGUAUCAAUAUUAAAAAUAAUAAUUGCAGAAGUUAUAUCUGUGUAAAUUUAAAACUACCACUAAAAAUCGCCUACUCAAUACUAACAGUGAAUAGCUGUCUGGACAGAAGAUCAGGCAGUGCUUUGAAAAUAUCCACGAACUUUGGAAUGUCUGCAGAAAAUUCCCCAAAUGAAGAAAUACCAUAGCUAUAAAUGCCCACCUCUGCUUCCUCUCAUUUACACAUUACUAAAAAAGAGGCCAAAAGAGGAUACCAAUUUGCUUAAAAUUUCAUAUCCUCAUUUAUAUCUAUAGAAGUAAAAUUAGAAAUAAUUCCUAUAAAUGUAUUUGCAUUUUAUAAUGCAUAUUUAAAAUACAUCUGACCUGUGUGGGGAAGAACAAGUGACCAGUGUGCCUGAUGUAUCUGAUAGAUAACAAACACCCUGAUUCUUCUCCUUACUGUUCUUCGUCUUUAGGUGAAAUUUUGGUGGUGAGCUACUAAAAUUACAGAUACAAAAAACACACAGCCACCAAAGAAAAAGAUCAUAUGAAGUAAAAGUGAAGUGUAUCAUCUUGAAUGACUGUAGGAACUGUUGUAAGCUUUCUGAAGUGGUUUCAUUCUCAGCUAUGAGCACAAAGCAAACCAUAGAGCUCCAUCUACUGGCCAGAACAUGUACUAGAGUCACAAAGCAGUUUAUAGCGUACAUUGAGUCAUAUAUUGAGUCAUAUAUAGUACAUUGAGU